UACGGAAGGCAGCAGUGGGGAAUAUUGCACAAUGGGCGCAAGCCUGAUGCAGCCAUGCCGCGUGUAUGAAGAAGGCCUUCGGGUUGUAAAGUACUUUCAGUCGUGAGGAAGGUGUUAAGGUUAAUAACCUUAGCAAUUGACGUUAGCGACAGAAGAAGCACCGGCUAACUCCGUGCCAGCAGCCGCGGUAAUACGGAGGGUGCGAGCGUUAAUCGGAAUUACUGGGCGUAAAGGGCACGCAGGCGGUUAAUUAAGUUGGAUGUGAAAUCCCCGGGCUUAACCUGGGAAUGGCAUUCAAGACUGGUUAGCUAGAGUCUUGUAGAGGGGGUAGAAUUCCGAUGUGUAGCGGUGAAAUGCGUAGAGAUGUGGAGGAAUACCGGGUGGCGAAGGCGGCCCCUGGGACAAAGACUGACGCUCAUGUGCGAAAGCGUGGGGAGCAAACGAGGAUUAGAUACC
This 456-nucleotide ribosomal RNA is filed under the name uncultured bacterium. RNAcentral's name for it is "bacterial SSU rRNA". It matches the Rfam family "Bacterial small subunit ribosomal RNA", at positions 340 to 786 of the family's 1533-position model. The record is from RNAcentral.